GACGAACGCUGGCGGCGUGCCUAAUACAUGCAAGUAGAACGCUGAAGAGAGGAGCUUGCUCUUCUUGGAUGAGUUGCGAACGGGUGAGUAACGCGUAGGUAACCUGCCUUGUAGCGGGGGAUAACUAUUGGAAACGAUAGCUAAUACCGCAUAACAAUGGAUGACACAUGUCAUUUAUUUGAAAGGGGCAAUUGCUCCACUACAAGAUGGACCUGCGUUGUAUUAGCUAGUAGGUGAGGUAACGGCUCACCUAGGCGACGAUACAUAGCCGACCUGAGAGGGUGAUCGGCCACACUGGGACUGAGACACGGCCCAGACUCCUACGGGAGGCAGCAGUAGGGAAUCUUCGGCAAUGGACGGAAGUCUGACCGAGCAACGCCGCGUGAGUGAAGAAGGUUUUCGGAUCGUAAAGCUCUGUUGUAAGUCAAGAACGAGUGUGAGAGUGGAAAGUUCACACUG
This 459-nucleotide ribosomal RNA is filed under the name Streptococcus vestibularis. RNAcentral's name for it is "bacterial SSU rRNA". It matches the Rfam family "Bacterial small subunit ribosomal RNA", at positions 28 to 471 of the family's 1533-position model. The record is from RNAcentral. Lineage: Bacteria; Bacillati; Bacillota; Bacilli; Lactobacillales; Streptococcaceae.